UUGUGGUCUGCCUUGCAGCACUCUUUGCCAGCCCUGCUUUGGAGGUGGUGAAAAGCAGUGCCAUUUUUGGGCUGGUUUUUGGAUUGGUUCUGCACAAAACCUUCACAAACACCUGCCCAGCUGAAGAACCAGUCAAGAAAAGUCUGCCCGCCGCCCUUCCCACACCGUGGCAUUUCAGAGAAAGUUGAGGUGUUGUUUCCCUGGCACAAAAGCCAUCUGUGCAGCGGAUCACAAAGGAUGAGACAGCUUUACACCUCCGGCAAUGCUCCUGUCGGUACUGUCACUGCAGUGCGCUCUUGCUUUCCUGGCUGGUCUCACCCAGGGCAAAUUUCUCUUCACUUUGGUGGCAGAUAGACAGGGGCUUGUUUCAAAGGGGGAAAAACAGCAAUGACGUAGGAAAAAAUGGGUAGAAAAAAAAAUAUUUAAUAUCUACAAAUUUUUCAAUCUUUCUAUCUGUCUAUCUAUACAAGCCUUGGCUCUCAGGGUAACAUAGAAGCGUUUUUUCAAGCAAAAUCAACAGGAUCAGCAAAGUGGUGGUUGCAUGCGGCGUGGAUGGGUUAUGGCAGAAAAAAAGAGGACCUGGAUUAAAUCUUUUGGGAAAGUGUGGGUUUGAGCUCGGAACUGAGAGUCACGGACGUGCGCAGGCACGCUGGUGUGUGAAAAUACACCCAAGGUAUUCCCCGGGAGCUUGAUAAUUGUUUAUUGUUCUCGGCUCUGAUCUCAAGCAACAAGAUCGGUGCAGAUAAGGAAGGGCUGGCUUCCAAGGAAGCUGAGUGAGGAGCAGAAAUAAGAGCACGUUUCAAGAACUCAUUGACGUACUCAUUGAAGAGCUCUUGGAGCACCGAAGGGUUGGCGCGCUGCUUGUCUAGAGGGCUUGUGGUGAGAAGCUGGGCCUGGAGGCUGCUGUAGGGCUGCAGAGAAGGCUCCCGGCAUGACAGGCCAGGACUGGAUGCAGACAGCCCGGGGUGAAGGAGAAGAUGUCUUGGGGGAGGGAAAGAAAUGUGAGCCCUAUGACUGGGGAUGACUGGAGGGUGAAAUAGCUUGCAUGGGAAUAGACCUAGGUAACAGGAGGCAUGUUUCUGGGGUAGG
RNAcentral lists this long non-coding RNA (1089 nucleotides) under Anas platyrhynchos platyrhynchos (common mallard). RNAcentral's name for it is "lncRNA (ENSAPLG00000028015.1)". Lineage: Eukaryota; Metazoa; Chordata; Aves; Anseriformes; Anatidae. The record is from RNAcentral.